This 253-nucleotide unclassified non-coding RNA is filed under the name uncultured Caldilineaceae bacterium. Its description in RNAcentral is "contains 16S-23S intergenic spacer region". It matches the Rfam family "Bacterial small subunit ribosomal RNA", at positions 524 to 776 of the family's 1533-position model. The record is from RNAcentral. Lineage: Bacteria; Bacillati; Chloroflexota; Caldilineae; Caldilineales; Caldilineaceae.
UACGUAGGUGGCAAGCGUUAUCCGGAAUUACUGGGCGUAAAGCGCACGCAGGUGGUUGUCUAAGACGGACGUGAAAGCUCCUGGCUUAACUGGGAGAGGUCGUUGGUGACUGGAUGACUUGAGGCGAGGAGAGGGGUGUAGAAUUCCCGGUGUAGUGGUGGAAUGCGUAGAGAUCGGGAGGAAUACCAGUGGCGAAAGCGACACCCUGGCCUUGGCCUGACGCUCAGGUGCGAAAGCGUGGGGAGCGAACGGG